AGACCCCGGCACCUUUUUAGGGUGCCUCUCUAAAUUUUCACUUUAG
This 46-nucleotide transfer RNA is filed under the name Gekko japonicus. Its description in RNAcentral is "partial tRNA-Cys". The record is from RNAcentral. Lineage: Eukaryota; Metazoa; Chordata; Lepidosauria; Squamata; Gekkonidae.